GAGAAAAAUGCUAAAAGUGAUUUGAGCAGUGACUAAAGAACAAACCUAGGGCAAACUGGAAUGAUGUAUAAUAAGCCAAAACCUAAGCCCACUCCUAAAGUGAAGUAAAAUAGUGUCUAAGCAGCCAAUGUAUAGAAUGAUCUGGCAUUGUCAGUCCAAAUGACACCAAGAGUGAACGUACAUUGUGUAGAAUGCAACAAGGUCUAGACUGAGUAAAGAGACAAAGAC
Pelobates cultripes (western spadefoot toad) is the source of this 228-nucleotide non-coding RNA. The record is from the annotation of a GenBank genome assembly. Lineage: Eukaryota; Metazoa; Chordata; Amphibia; Anura; Pelobatidae.